GCUGGGCGUGGUGGCGCAUGCCUGUAAUCCCAGCUACUCUGGAGGCUGAGGCAGGAGAAUAGCUCGAACCAGGGAGCUGGAGGUUGCAGUGAGCCGAGAUUACGCCACUGCACUCCAUCCUGGCAACAGAGCAAGACUCUGUCUCAA
RNAcentral lists this non-coding RNA (147 nucleotides) under Homo sapiens (human). The record is from Rfam by way of RNAcentral. Lineage: Eukaryota; Metazoa; Chordata; Mammalia; Primates; Hominidae.